Molecule: unclassified non-coding RNA, 288 nt
Filed under: uncultured fungus
Lineage: Eukaryota; Fungi
Description: partial internal transcribed spacer 2
Source: RNAcentral
AACGCACCUUGCACUUUAGGAGUCAAUCCUAAAGUAUACCUGUUUGAGUAUCAUAAACAUUUAUCCAAUUUUAUUGGGAAUUGAGGGUUUAGUUGCUCCGGCGAUUAUCUCUUUAAAUGUAUUAGAGGUUCUAGGAUAGCAGUCUUAUAUCUAGAAUGAGGAUAUUACUCUUUGCAGUAACAAUCAUGACGGAGUAAAAGGGUUAUCUUAUCAUGAGCUUCUUUAAACGUCUUCGGACACUAGAACAAAUGUGAUCUCAAAUCAGGCAAGAUUACCCGCCGAACUUAA